CUGGGCUACCUUUGCAGGAGGUGUUGCUGUAGGAAGAAGCGGUGGCUGUCAGGGCAGCUGAGCCUCAGCCUCAAGGUUAAAUCCAAAGCGCCUGACCUGGAACUGGAGAGCACUCGAUCUUCCAUUCUGCGGCAGAGGCUUAUGGGGGCGAGCAGUUAUCCCGGGGAGGGAACGGGGCCUGGGACACGACGCAAGGACUCAGGGCGGGAGGAGGAGGGAUAACAGAGACUGAGUGUGCUUGUGCCUGGGUUUCUCCUACCCAAGCAGAGACGUGUGGCCAUCAGAACGGCUGGGCCCCAGGCCUCCGUCGCUUGAGCAGGGCUGGGGCUGCAGGAUGCGCCUGAAGUCCAAGGCGUAGAGGAGAGGACAAAUCAGGCAGUGCAUCCUCAAACCCCGAUUGGUCCCAACCCGCGAUUCCUCUGCUUUCUUCAGGGAGCGGACCCAGGGAGGUGAGAGAGCAGAUGAUGCCAAAGCAUUUUAUAUUUGUAAAAUUCCAUCUGAUACCCUGAACGAGCUCCUUCAGUACAACCCUCUGAGGUUGAUGAGGAGCUCGGGUGGCCCCGGCCCCACCACGGAUGCUGAUUAUUGGGGUAACCGAGGCAGCAUGGGGUGCUCCCGCCUGCCACACACAGAGAUCACACGAAGCCCCUAGGAUGGACACGGGCUAAGCCGAACACUGGCCGGACUGCUCUGUACCCAGAACUUCCUGCAGGUCACAGAACCAGGUCCACGAAGGCCAAGCUCCUGCACUGCAAUCCCAGCUUCCUGACGGUCACUGUGCGGACACAGGCGCCUGCUGUCUGGCUCCUCCACCCCCUCUGAGCUCCUCUGUUUAUGCUUGUCCAGCUCCUCCUGAAAGCUUGUCACAGCAUUUCUUUUUCUUUUCUCUUGGUACCGGGGAUUGAACUCAGGACUUUCCACUUGCGGUGCAGGCAAAGGAACCACUGAGCUAAAUCCCUCGCCCUAGCUUUUCAUUUUCGUCAUCUUACUUCUCCAUACAAUGUAGCGGAGACCUACAUUGCUGGAUUAAGUUUUCUCCCCUCUUUCCUUUCAUCCACAGGAGUUUGCAUGUAAUAAACAGAAGACAACCCGUAUGCCCCCUGCACUUUAUGGGCGGACAAGACAAAUGGUCCGGUCUCAGAUGACAACCUAGAUUUAUAAUUUCACACCUGAAACGCUUGUUCGAUUACCAAGGAGGGGGACUGGAAAUUGUUCUCCUCCUCAGACCAUUUUCAGAAAAAGAAGCAGUUGAGAAAAUUACUUGUAGGGUCCUUUCUCUGGAAAGUAUCAUUGUUUUGGGUUUGUUUGUUUGUUUUUUCCUUGUGGCCGACUUAGGCUUAUAGUCUCUGUAGCUAUCUCUCUCUGUCUGUUGCCUCUCUCCAGAAGGAAAAAUAAACAAAACUCGG
This 1406-nucleotide long non-coding RNA is filed under the name Fukomys damarensis (Damara mole-rat). Its description in RNAcentral is "lncRNA (ENSFDAG00000029677.1)". Lineage: Eukaryota; Metazoa; Chordata; Mammalia; Rodentia; Bathyergidae. The record is from RNAcentral.